Molecule: ribosomal RNA, 624 nt
Filed under: uncultured bacterium
Lineage: Bacteria
Description: bacterial SSU rRNA
Rfam family: Bacterial small subunit ribosomal RNA
Source: RNAcentral
CGUGAGCAACCUGCCUUUCAGUGGGGGACAACAUUUGGAAACGAAUGCUAAUACCGCAUAAGACCACAGUGUCGCAUGGCACAGGGGUCAAAGGAUUUAUCCGCUGAAAGAUGGGCUCGCGUCCGAUUAGCUAGAUGGUGAGGUAACGGCCCACCAUGGCGACGAUCGGUAGCCGGACUGAGAGGUUGAACGGCCACAUUGGGACUGAGACACGGCCCAGACUCCUACGGGAGGCAGCAGUGGGGAAUAUUGCACAAUGGGGGAAACCCUGAUGCAGCGACGCCGCGUGGAGGAAGAAGGUCUUCGGAUUGUAAACUCCUGUCCCAGGGGACGAUAAUGACGGUACCCUGGGAGGAAGCACCGGCUAACUACGUGCCAGCAGCCGCGGUAAAACGUAGGGUGCAAGCGUUGUCCGGAAUUACUGGGUGUAAAGGGAGCGCAGGCGGAUUGGCAAGUUGGGAGUGAAAUCUAUGGGCUCAACCCAUAAAUUGCUUUCAAAACUGUCAGUCUUGAGUGGUGUAGAGGUAGGCGGAAUUCCCGGUGUAGCGGUGGAAUGCGUAGAUAUCGGGAGGAACACCAGUGGCGAAGGCGGCCUACUGGGCACUAACUGACGCUGAGGCUCGA